AGCGAACGCUGGCGGCAUGCCUAACACAUGCAAGUCGAGCGCUCCCAGCAAUGGGGGGAGCGGCGGACGGGUGAGUAACGCGUAGGAACGUAUCCUGAGGUGGGGGAUAACCCUGGGAAACUAGGGGCUAAUACCGCAUGAUGGCGAGAGCCCAAAGAUUUAUCGCCUUGGGAGCGGCCUGCGUCUGAUUAGCUUGUUGGUGGGGUAACGGCCUACCAAGGCGAUGAUCAGUAGCUGGUCUGAGAGGAUGAUCAGCCACACUGGGACUGAGACACGGCCCAGACUCCUACGGGAGGCAGCAGUGGGGAAUAUUGGACAAUGGGCGAAAGCCUGAUCCAGCAAUGCCGCGUGGAUGAAGAAGGUCUUCGGAUUGUAAAGUCCUUUCGGCGGGGACGAUGAUGACGGUACCCGCAGAAGAAGCCCCGGCUAACUUCGUG
Molecule: ribosomal RNA, 437 nt
Filed under: uncultured bacterium
Lineage: Bacteria
Description: bacterial SSU rRNA
Rfam family: Bacterial small subunit ribosomal RNA
Source: RNAcentral